CACGUAGGGGGCGAGCGUUGUCCGGAUUUAUUGGGCGUAAAGAGCUCGUAGGCGGUUUCGUUAGUCGGGUGUGAAAACUCUAGGCUCAACCUGGAGACGCCACCCGAUACUGCGAUGACUAGAGUCCGGUAGGGGAGUGUGGAAUUCCUGGUGUAGCGGUGAAAUGCGCAGAUAUCAGGAAGAACACCCGUGGCGAAGGCGGUUCUCUGGGACGGUACUGACGCUGAGACGCGAAAGCGUGGGGAGCGAACAGG
This 254-nucleotide ribosomal RNA is filed under the name uncultured bacterium. Its description in RNAcentral is "partial 16S ribosomal RNA". It matches the Rfam family "Bacterial small subunit ribosomal RNA", at positions 524 to 776 of the family's 1533-position model. The record is from RNAcentral.